This 148-nucleotide non-coding RNA is filed under the name Chlorocebus sabaeus (green monkey). The record is from Rfam by way of RNAcentral. Lineage: Eukaryota; Metazoa; Chordata; Mammalia; Primates; Cercopithecidae.
GCCGGGUGCGGUGGUGGGCACCUGUAAUCCCAGCUACUUGGGAGGCUGAGGCAGAAGAAUCACUUGAACCCAGGAAGUGGAGGUUGCUGUGAGCUGAGAUCACACCACUGUACUCCAGCCUGGACGACAGAGUGAGAUUCUGUCUCAA